Molecule: non-coding RNA, 148 nt
Filed under: Nomascus leucogenys (northern white-cheeked gibbon)
Lineage: Eukaryota; Metazoa; Chordata; Mammalia; Primates; Hylobatidae
Source: Rfam by way of RNAcentral
GCUGGGCAUGGUGGUGCAUGCCUGUGGUCCCAGCUACUCGGGAGGCUGAGGCAGGAGAAUCACUUGAACCUGGGAGGCGGAGGUUGCAGUGAGUUGAGAUCACGCCACUGCAUUCUCGCCUGGAUGACAGAGUGAGACUCUGUCUCAA